RNAcentral lists this ribosomal RNA (479 nucleotides) under uncultured bacterium. Its description in RNAcentral is "partial 16S ribosomal RNA". It matches the Rfam family "Bacterial small subunit ribosomal RNA", at positions 28 to 507 of the family's 1533-position model. The record is from RNAcentral.
GACGAACGCUGGCGGCGCGCUUAACACAUGCAAGUCGAGCGAUGAAAUUUCGACAGAUCCCUUCGGGGUGAAGAUGAAAUGGAUUAGCGGCGGACGGGUGAGUAACACGUGAGUAACCUGCCUUUGACAUUGGGAUAGCCUCGGGAAACUGGGAUUAAUACCAAAUGACACUAACUGAUCACAUGAUCAAUUAGUCAAAGAAAUUCGGUCAAAGAUGGACUCGCGGCUGAUUAGCUAGUUGGUGAGGUAACGGCCCACCAAGGCGACGAUCAGUAGCCGGGCUGAGAGGGUGAUCGGCCACAUUGGAACUGAGACACGGUCCAAACUCCUACGGGAGGCAGCAGUGGGGAAUAUUGCACAAUGGGGGAAACCAUGAUGCAGCGACGCCGCGUGAGCGAAGAAGGCCUUCGGGUCGUAAAGCUCUUUUAUGAGGGAAGAUAAUGACGGUACCUCAAGAAAAAGCCCCGGCUAACUACGUG